GCGGAUGUGGUGAAAUUGGUAGACACGACAGAUUUAGGAUCUGUUGCCGCGAGGCGUGGGGGUUCGAGUCCCUUCAUCCGCACUA
This 85-nucleotide transfer RNA is filed under the name Bacteroidota bacterium. RNAcentral's name for it is "Bacteroidetes bacterium (marine metagenome) tRNA-Leu". It matches the Rfam family "tRNA". Rfam says of the family: Transfer RNA (tRNA) molecules are approximately 80 nucleotides in length. The record is from RNAcentral. RNAcentral also lists the same sequence under 1 other name. Lineage: Bacteria; Pseudomonadati; Bacteroidota.